RNAcentral lists this ribosomal RNA (276 nucleotides) under unidentified marine bacterioplankton. RNAcentral describes it as "partial 16S ribosomal RNA". It matches the Rfam family "Bacterial small subunit ribosomal RNA", at positions 47 to 339 of the family's 1533-position model. The record is from RNAcentral. RNAcentral also lists the same sequence under 1 other name.
CUUAACACAUGCAAGUCGAACGAGCUGGGGCCUUCGGGUCCCGAUGCUAGUGGCGCACGGGUGAGUAACACGUGGGAAUAUGCCCUUUAGUACGGAAUAACCAAGGGAAACUUUGGCUAAUACCGUAUACGCCCUUCGGGGGAAAGAUUUAUCGCUAAAGGAUUAGCCCGCGUCUGAUUAGGUAGUUGGUGAGGUAAUGGCUCACCAAGCCGACGAUCAGUAGCUGGUCUGAGAGGAUGAUCAGCCACACUGGGACUGAGACACGGCCCAGACUCC